AGCUCAGUGGUGGUCAGCAAAAUUCAAGACAGAGGCCCUCAGCUCCAGAGACCCGCUGUCCUCUGAUGCAUGGCCAUCUCCAGUGGCUCUUCAUGGUGUGGCACUUAGAUUCUUCAAGACCAGCAAAGAUCUCUCCUGUGCAUACUGACAAGGUGGAAUCAUGUUGACGGGAGGAGAUUGAAUGAGGCAUAGCACUCAGCAUGGGCUCAGAGGACCAGUUUAGAACUCUGAUACCUGUGUCUCUGUCUUGUGAGAUGAACCAGCUGAAGGAACUCCUCUAAGAUCUCUCAGGAUCCAAGUGAAUAUAGGUGGGCAAGAGGAAGAGAAAAGAAUCAAGACACCACGGUGUUACUGCUGGCAGCAUUUAUGGACCCCAGCCUGUGAUGUGUCAAAUGCUUGUGACUCCCCUCAGACCCUCUUGACAUUUGUCUGCACACCCAGAGUUCUCUGGUUGAAAGAAAGAAGCUUAAGCUGACUUCUGAAUUCUGAGAUCACACUGCACAGUG
Molecule: long non-coding RNA, 506 nt
Filed under: Heterocephalus glaber (naked mole-rat)
Lineage: Eukaryota; Metazoa; Chordata; Mammalia; Rodentia; Bathyergidae
Description: lncRNA (ENSHGLG00000028426.2)
Source: RNAcentral